GACGAACGCUGGCGGCGUGCCUAAUACAUGCAAGUAGAACGCUGAAGAGAGGAGCUUGCUCUUCUUGGAUGAGUUGCGAACGGGUGAGUAACGCGUAGGUAACCUGCCUUGUAGCGGGGGAUAACUAUUGGAAACGAUAGCUAAUACCGCAUAACAAUGGAUGACACAUGUCAUUUAUUUGAAAGGGGCAAUUGCUCCACUACAAGAUGGACCUGCGUUGUAUUAGCUAGUAGGUGAGGUAACGGCUCACCUAGGCGACGAUACAUAGCCGACCUGAGAGGGUGAUCGGCCACACUGGGACUGAGACACGGCCCAGACUCCUACGGGAGGCAGCAGUAGGGAAUCUUCGGCAAUGGGGGCAACCCUGACCGAGCAACGCCGCGUGAGUGAAGAAGGUUUUCGGAUCGUAAAGCUCUGUUGUAAGUCAAGAACGAGUGUGAGAGUGGAAAAUUCACACUGUGACGGUAGCUUACCAGAAAGGGACGGCUAACUACGUGCCAGCAGCCGCGGUAAUACGUAGGUCCCGAGCGUUGUCCGGAUUUAUUGGGCGUAAAGCGAGCGCGGCGGUUUGAUAAGUCUGAAGUUAAGGCUGUGGCUCAACCAUAGUUCGCUUUGGAAACUGUCAAACUUGAGUGCAGAAGGGGAGAGUGGAAUUCCAUGUGUAGCGGUGAAAUGCGUAGAUAUAUGGAGGAACACCGGUGGCGAAAGCGGCUCUCUGGUCUGUAACUGACGCUGAGGCUCGAAAGCGUGGGGAGCGAACAGGAUUAGAUACCCUGGUAGUCCACGCCGUAAACGAUGAGUGCUAGGUGUUGGAUCCUUUCCGGGAUUCAGUGCCGCAGCUAACGCAUUAAGCACUCCGCCUGGGGAGUACGACCGCAAGGUUGAAACUCAAAGGAAUUGACGGGGGCCCGCACAAGCGGUGGAGCAUGUGGUUUAAUUCGAAGCAACGCGAAGAACCUUACCAGGUCUUGACAUCCCGAUGCUAUUUCUAGAGAUAGAAAGUUACUUCGGUACAUCGGUGACAGGUGGUGCAUGGUUGUCGUCAGCUCGUGUCGUGAGAUGUUGGGUUAAGUCCCGCAACGAGCGCAACCCCUAUUGUUAGUUGCCAUCAUUCAGUUGGGCACUCUAGCGAGACUGCCGGUAAUAAACCGGAGGAAGGUGGGGAUGACGUCAAAUCAUCAUGCCCCUUAUGACCUGGGCUACACACGUGCUACAAUGGUUGGUACAACGAGUUGCGAGUCGGUGACGGCAAGCUAAUCUCUUAAAGCCAAUCUCAGUUCGGAUUGUAGGCUGCAACUCGCCUACAUGAAGUCGGAAUCGCUAGUAAUCGCGGAUCAGCACGCCGCGGUGAAUACGUUCCCGGGCCU
Molecule: ribosomal RNA, 1367 nt
Filed under: uncultured bacterium
Lineage: Bacteria
Description: bacterial SSU rRNA
Rfam family: Bacterial small subunit ribosomal RNA
Source: RNAcentral